RNAcentral lists this long non-coding RNA (1031 nucleotides) under Phasianus colchicus (ring-necked pheasant). RNAcentral's name for it is "lncRNA (ENSPCLG00000021931.1)". The record is from RNAcentral. Lineage: Eukaryota; Metazoa; Chordata; Aves; Galliformes; Phasianidae.
GCUGUGAUAGCAAGCCAAUGCCCUGCUGAAACUGAAGGGAGGCCAGAGCUGGCUUUGGAAAGAUGGUGUUCUGGGAGAUGCAGAAAUAAUCUCCGGACAUCCCCAAACCUGUGGUUACUGCCAAGCCUCGGGAAGAGUUCUGCCAUGGAGGCUUUGUCCCCCCUCUCAGGCAGCGAUUUUGGGGUCCUGGUGAAUACCUCCUGCUCUUUCUAAAAACCUUUCAGUGAUAUAGUCCUGCAAAAUCCUUUCUACUCCUUUCCAAAGCUUCUGAGAAACUAUGGAGAUGCCACCUCUGCAGAACCCGAUGUCCUUCCCAGUUUGUCACGAUUCAAGGAGAAAGUAGUGGCUUAAAUAUUCUUACUUGAAUUUCUAGAAUACGUCUCAGAUGACCGAACUUAACAAACAACCGCUUUUUUGAAACCUUUUCAAACUGUUUAGAAAUGCCUUCUCUUUGUCACCGAUGAUCAAACUGACAGAAAUAUUGCUUAUUUUAAAAGGAACUUAUUUUCAAUUUGGUCCUCUGCAUUUCUAUCCAUUCCUAGUAUUCUUUAUGCUUAGGCCAUAAUGGUCUCAGAGUUCUAAUACUAUAGGCCAUCUGCAAAGCAGUCUGCAGGCAGAAAGCUCAGAGAGAACCUGUUGGCAAAGGGUGGAUCUCCAGUGGCCUUUUCUCCACUAUAUGGUUUCCUACAACAAAGACAUUUAUCAACUAUGUCUCCCUUGUGAGGAUUUUGGCUUCACCAGAAAGGUGUCUCUUACAUACCAUGGGCACGAUCUGAAGUCCACAGAGCAAACUGGACUCAGUCAAAUGUGCUUUCGAUCAAGUCCUGCAUGCCCAGGUUAUCUGCCACUCACUAUUAGUAAAAUUCCAUUUCUGCCAUGAUUGAUUCUUGUAGCCCAUCUUCCUUCCAUAAAAUUGUUAGUUAAUUUUUCCAGUACUUAAAGUUAUCUUUCACGUUUCUCAUAUUGUAUAGUGAGUUAACUCACAUUAACUUUAAGCUUAGUGAUCACAAACGGACACAGCUCACUUGAUC